CAAAUAUUUGCUUAAUGGAUAAAUGAUUGCAAUUUGGCUCCAGACAAGGAAGAAUGUGCUGUUCAUGCCAGCAGAGGCAUUCUGGUAUUUUUGGCACUUCAAAUAAUCAUUAACCCAGUGCCGUGCUGCAUGGAGAAGACAAAUGGACAGGAAUUGAGGCACUCUGGUUGACAGUCCCACCUGAGCAUAGCAUCCAUUUGACCCCAGCUGCCAGCCAGGUCAUAUAUGUGGUGAAGAUCAUCAUGGCAAAAUAUGCAAGUUGGAUGUCUGACACUCAUAUGGAGGCAGUCGGGAGUCACAGAGGGCUGAGCAGGCACCACAUGCCAAGGAUCCAGCAGAGGACUUGCCAGGGAUAGUGGAAGUUGCCAGAAGUUACCAGAAGAUGACAAUUGGAGCUCUGGUUGCCAUCUUGGACCAUGAGGAUGAAGAAUGUGGAAGGGUGAGCUAAAAAGAACUUGGAUUCUUCAUGACCUUGUGGUGCUACCCUGCUAGUCCUGGAUUGCUUCUUGCAUCUAGACUUCAUUUACAUGUGAGUAAAAUAAACAACUAUCUUUUUUAAGACACUA
Long non-coding RNA from Suricata suricatta (meerkat), 566 nucleotides. RefSeq lists it as uncharacterized. The transcript has 5 exons. The record is from RefSeq and is a predicted model, not a curated record. Lineage: Eukaryota; Metazoa; Chordata; Mammalia; Carnivora; Herpestidae.